AGUGAACGCUGGCGGUAGGCCUAACACAUGCAAGUCGAACGGCAGCACAGUAAGAGCUUGCUCUUACGGGUGGCGAGUGGCGGACGGGUGAGGAAUACAUCGGAAUCUACUUUUUCGUGGGGGAUAACGUAGGGAAACUUACGCUAAUACCGCAUACGACCUACGGGUGAAAGUAGGGGAUCUUCGGACCUUGCGCGAUUGAAUGAGCCGAUGUCGGAUUAGCUAGUUGGCGGGGUAAAGGCCCAUCAAGGCGACGAUCCGUAGCUGGUCUGAGAGGAUGAUCAGCCACACUGGAACUGAGACACGGUCCAGACUCCUACGGGAGGCAGCAGUGGGGAAUAUUGGACAAUGGGCGCAAGCCUGAUCCAGCCAUACCGCGUGGGUGAAGAAGGCCUUCGGGUUGUAAAGCCCUUUUGUUGGGAAAGAAAAGCAGCAGGUUAAUACCCCGCUGUUCUGACGGUACCCAAAGAAUAAGCACCGGCUAACUUCGUG
Molecule: ribosomal RNA, 492 nt
Filed under: uncultured bacterium
Lineage: Bacteria
Description: partial 16S ribosomal RNA
Rfam family: Bacterial small subunit ribosomal RNA
Source: RNAcentral